Molecule: ribosomal RNA, 372 nt
Filed under: uncultured organism
Description: bacterial SSU rRNA
Rfam family: Bacterial small subunit ribosomal RNA
Source: RNAcentral
CAGAGGGGGCAAGCGUUGUUCGGAAUUACUGGGCGUAAAGGGCGCGUAGACGGCCUUCUAAGUCGAACGUGAAAUCCCCGGGCUCAACCCGGGAACUGCGUCCGAUACUGGAAGGCUUGAAUCCGGGAGAGGGAUGCGGAAUUCCAGGUGUAGCGGUGAAAUGCGUAGAUAUCUGGAGGAACACCGGUGGCGAAGGCGGCAUCCUGGACCGGCAUUGACGCUGAGGCGCGAAAGCCAGGGGAGCAAACGGGAUUAGAUACCCCGGUAGUCCUGGCCCUAAACGAUGAAUGCUUGGUGUGGCGGGUAUCGAUCCCUGCCGUGCCGUAGCUAAUGCAUUAAGCAUUCCGCCUGGGGAGUACGGUCGCAAGGCUG